RNAcentral lists this long non-coding RNA (691 nucleotides) under Bos taurus (domestic cattle). Its description in RNAcentral is "long non-coding RNA NONBTAT020472". Lineage: Eukaryota; Metazoa; Chordata; Mammalia; Artiodactyla; Bovidae. The record is from RNAcentral.
GAGAGAGAGAGGCUUUCCUAUGAAGAACAGAUUAUUUGAGCAAUCUUGUUUCAGAAAGGGAAGUAUGCAAUAAAAAUCAAACAAUUUUAAAUCUGUAACUUAUUUUAAAGAGUCACAAACCAUUUGGGGCAAAAGCAAAAGAAAUAAAAACAGCAGCAAACAUUUUUAGCUUUAACAUUAAUCUUUUAAACUAUCUCUGGCCUUUUCUCUGGCUAAAAGGAAAGAAGUCUUCAGAUCCACUCUAAAGUCUUUCUUAGACUGAGAAGCCUCUGAUACCUUUUCAAAGCAGCUUAGUGUCACACAUUUUUUUGAGUUAUCCUCUAAGAGUCUGUUUGCAACUUAUUAGAAAAAAUUUUUCAGUUGCCUUCUGACCAUGACCAUAAAAUGACAAUGAAUUCUCAUUUUAUCCAGUUCCAAAUUACUCUCUGACCUUUAUCAUAACAGAGAAACAUCUUUCCACCCCUUACAAUCCAUAAGAACAAAAUUUACAUGAAAGGAAGCAACCUCAAAGCUAGAUUAUCUGACUCCCAGACCAGUGUGAUCUUCCUGCCAUCUUCAGCUGCAUUUCAUGGAGUUUUGCCAGACCUGAUAUUUCUACAUUCUAAACUGCCAGCCCCUAAUGAUCUCUUUCAUCUUUGAACUUCUGUGAGAUUUAUUAUGUAUACUAAUGUGUUUUCUAAAAUUGAUCCAU